Molecule: ribosomal RNA, 481 nt
Filed under: uncultured bacterium
Lineage: Bacteria
Description: partial 16S ribosomal RNA
Rfam family: Bacterial small subunit ribosomal RNA
Source: RNAcentral
GACGAACGCUGGCGGCGUGCCUAACACAUGCAAGUCGAACGGAACUGUUUUGAAAGAUUUCUUCGGAAUGAAUUUGAUUUAGUUUAGUGGCGGACGGGUGAGUAACGCGUGAGUAACCUGCCUUCAAGAGGGGAAUAACAUUCUGAAAAGAAUGCUAAUACCGCAUGACAUAUCGGAACCACAUGGUUUUGAUAUCAAGGAUUUUAUCGCUUGAAGAUGGACUCGCGUCCGAUUAGUUAGUUGGUGAGGUAACGGCUCACCAAGACCGCGAUCGGUAGCCGGACUGAGGGUUUGAACGGCCACAUUGGGACUGAGACCCGGCCAAGACUCCUAGGGGGGGCAGCAGGGGGGGAUAUUGCGAAAUGGGGGAAACCCGGACGCAACAACGCCGCGUGAAGGAUAAAGGUUUUCGGAUUGUAAACUUCUUUUAUUAAGGACGAAAAAUGGCGGUACUAAAGGAAUAAGCCCCGGCUAACUACGU